Molecule: transfer RNA, 86 nt
Filed under: Clostridium sp.
Lineage: Bacteria; Bacillati; Bacillota; Clostridia; Eubacteriales; Clostridiaceae
Description: tRNA-Leu
Rfam family: tRNA
About the family: Transfer RNA (tRNA) molecules are approximately 80 nucleotides in length. Their secondary structure includes four short double-helical elements and three loops (D, anti-codon, and T loops).
Source: RNAcentral
GCCGGUGUGGCGGAAUGGCAGACGCAGUGGACUCAAAAUCCACCGGUGGAAACACCGUGCCGGUUCGACCCCGGCUACCGGCACCA